This 446-nucleotide ribosomal RNA is filed under the name Micromonospora sp. 21C. RNAcentral describes it as "bacterial SSU rRNA". It matches the Rfam family "Bacterial small subunit ribosomal RNA", at positions 54 to 518 of the family's 1533-position model. Lineage: Bacteria; Bacillati; Actinomycetota; Actinomycetes; Micromonosporales; Micromonosporaceae. The record is from RNAcentral.
CAUGCAAGUCGAGCGGAAAGGCCCUUCGGGGUACUCGAGCGGCGAACGGGUGAGUAACACGUGAGCAACCUGCCCUAGGCUUUGGGAUAACCCCGGGAAACCGGGGCUAAUACCGGAUAGGACCACCGGCCGCAUGGUUGGUGGUGGAAAGUUUUUCGGCCUGGGAUGGGCUCGCGGCCUAUCAGCUUGUUGGUGGGGUGAUGGCCUACCAAGGCGACGACGGGUAGCCGGCCUGAGAGGGCGACCGGCCACACUGGGACUGAGACACGGCCCAGACUCCUACGGGAGGCAGCAGUGGGGAAUAUUGCACAAUGGGCGGAAGCCUGAUGCAGCGACGCCGCGUGAGGGAUGACGGCCUUCGGGUUGUAAACCUCUUUCAGCAGGGACGAAGCGUAAGUGACGGUACCUGCAGAAGAAGCGCCGGCCAACUACGUGCCAGCAGCCGC